UCCAAAUGGUACUGGGCUCGACGAGAACAGCGAGUAAUGUGUUGACUUAGCGGAGCAGCAUUCAAAUGCCACUUUCACCCACCUACGUCGAGGAUCUCAGUUCAUCCCACGGUAGAGUGACCGAUGAAAACAGCGCUGGCGCAGCACAGCUCAUUGAUCAGACGAUGAACAUCAGACAGCACAUCCCUUCUUGUGAACUCCUCUCUCGAGUUCGAAGUAUCGGCAUUGUGGAUGGUUCAGCAGAACAGCAGGUUCAGGACAGCCCAAUCGAUGCUGCCCAGGCAAGCGGCAGUGACCCUCCUUCUAGAGCGAAUAGAGAAAGACCACAGUCUGAAUGGUCUUGCCGAGGACCAUCUCAUCGGCUAGAAUGGUGUCGAUGGCCUGUCGAGGCUCUUCAGAGUGACCGAUGAAAACAGCGCUGGUGCAGCACAGCUCAUUGAUCAGACGAUGAACAUCAGAUAGCAGGCUGCAGCUCCAGCUCGAAAACAUCAUCACUUCCGAUUUUGUGAACAAAGUACCAAGCGGAUGCUGCCGCAGACAGUCGUCAUUUUGGUCAUCCAUCCAGGUGGUAAACUUGGGACGACCCACGGCAUCGCGAUUGAUCAAGAGACGCACACAGCGCGGUCCAGGGUACUA
This is a long non-coding RNA of Drosophila guanche, 636 nucleotides long. RefSeq lists it as uncharacterized. The transcript is spliced from 3 exons. The record is from RefSeq and is a predicted model, not a curated record. Lineage: Eukaryota; Metazoa; Arthropoda; Insecta; Diptera; Drosophilidae.